UCGCUACUACUGAUUGAAUGGCUUACUGAGUUGGGGGGACACUGCCGUAGCAAUACGUGUCUGGUGGAGCCCACGCAAGCUUGGUCAUUUAGAAGAAGUAAAAGUCGUAA
RNAcentral lists this ribosomal RNA (110 nucleotides) under uncultured eukaryote. Its description in RNAcentral is "partial small subunit ribosomal RNA". The record is from RNAcentral.